UCGGCUAACUCCGUACCAGCAGSCGCGGUAAUACGGGGGAUGCAAGCGUUAUCCGGAAUCAUUGGGCGUAAAGCGCCUGUAGGUUGYCUUAAUAAGUCUGUUGUUAAAGACUGGGGCUUAACCCCAGGAAAGCAAUGGAAACUACUAGACUAGAGUAUGAUAGGGGUAGAGGGAAUUUCUAGUGUAGCGGUGAAAUGCGUAGAUAUUAGAAAGAACACCGGUGGCGAAGGCGCUCUACUGGAUCAUUACUGACACUCAGAGGCGAAAGCUAGGGUAGCAAAAGGGAUUAGAUACCCCUGUAGUCCUAGCCGUAAACGAUGGAUACUAGAUGUUGCGUUUUAUAUGCAGUAUCGUAGCUAACGCGUUAAGUAUCCCGCCUGGGGAGUACGCUCGCAAGGGUGAAACUCAAAGGAAUUGACGGGGGCCCGCACAAGCGGUGGAGCAUGUGGUUUAAUUCGAUGCAACGCGAAGAACCUUACCAAGGCUUGACAUACUACAAAUUUCUUUGAAAAAGGAAAGUGCCUUCGGGAAUGUAGAUACAGGUGGUGCAUGGCUGUCGUCAGCUCGUGUCGUGAGAUGUUGGGUUAAGUCCCGCAACGAGCGCAACCCUUAUUUUUAGUUGCUAAUUUAGUUUAGGUUUCCUAGAAAGACUGCCGGUGACAAACCGGAGGAAGGUGAGGAUGACGUCAAGUCAGCAUGCCCCUUAUGCCUUGGGCUACACACGUGCUACAAUGGUUAAGACAAAGAGUUGCGAGCUCGUGAGAGUCAGCUAAUCUCAUAAACUUAGCCUAAGUUCGUAUUGUAGGCUGCAACUCCCUUCC
Molecule: ribosomal RNA, 821 nt
Filed under: uncultured phototrophic eukaryote
Lineage: Eukaryota
Description: bacterial SSU rRNA
Rfam family: Bacterial small subunit ribosomal RNA
Source: RNAcentral